GACGAACGCUGGCGACGUGCUUAACACAUGCAAGUCGAACGGAAAGACCCUGCUUUUGUGGGGUGCUCGAGUGGCGAACGGGUGAGUAACACGUGAGUAACCUGCCCUUGACUUUGGGAUAACUUCAGGAAACUGGGGCUAAUACCGGAUAGGAGCUCCUGCUGCAUGGUGGGGGUUGGAAAGUUUCGGCGGUUGGGGAUGGACUCGCGGCUUAUCAGCUUGUUGGUGGGGUAGUGGCUUACCAAGGCUUUGACGGGUAGCCGGCCUGAGAGGGUGACCGGCCACAUUGGGACUGAGAUACGGCCCAGACUCCUACGGGAGGCAGCAGUGGGGAAUAUUGCACAAUGGGCGGAAGCCUGAUGCAGCAACGCCGCGUGCGGGAUGACGGCCUUCGGGUUGUAAACCGCUUUCGCCUGUGACGAAGCGUGAGUGACGGUAAUGGGUAAAGAAGCACCGGCUAACUACGUG
Molecule: ribosomal RNA, 468 nt
Filed under: uncultured bacterium
Lineage: Bacteria
Description: partial 16S ribosomal RNA
Rfam family: Bacterial small subunit ribosomal RNA
Source: RNAcentral